UACAGAGGGUGCGAGCGUUAAUCGGAAUUACUGGGCGUAAAGCGCGCGUAGGCGGCUUUUCAAGUCGAUUGUGAAAUCCCCGGGCUUAACCUGGGAACUGCAGUCGAGACUGUCUAGCUAGAGUAUGGGAGAGGGAAGUGGAAUUUCAGGUGUAGCGGUGAAAUGCGUAGAUAUCUGAAGGAACAUCAGUGGCGAAAGCGACUUCCUGGACCAAUACUGACGCUCAUGUGCGAAAGCCAGGGGAGCAAACGGG
RNAcentral lists this ribosomal RNA (253 nucleotides) under uncultured bacterium. RNAcentral describes it as "partial 16S ribosomal RNA". It matches the Rfam family "Bacterial small subunit ribosomal RNA", at positions 524 to 776 of the family's 1533-position model. The record is from RNAcentral.